This 253-nucleotide ribosomal RNA is filed under the name uncultured bacterium. RNAcentral describes it as "partial 16S ribosomal RNA". It matches the Rfam family "Bacterial small subunit ribosomal RNA", at positions 524 to 776 of the family's 1533-position model. The record is from RNAcentral.
UACGUAGGGUGCAAGCGUUGUCCGGAAUUAUUGGGCGUAAAGAGCUCGUAGGCGGUUUGUCGCGUCUGCUGUGAAAACUCGGGGCUUAACUCCGGGCCUGCAGUGGGUACGGGCAGACUAGAGUGCGGUAGGGGAGAUUGGAAUUCCUGGUGUAGCGGUGGAAUGCGCAGAUAUCAGGAGGAACACCGAUGGCGAAGGCAGAUCUCUGGGCCGUAACUGACGCUGAGGAGCGAAAGCGUGGGGAGCAAACAGG